GAUGAACGCUGGCGGCGUGCUUAACACAUGCAAGUCGAACGGGAAACUUUUCAUUGAAGCUUCGGCAGAUUUGGUCUGUUUCUAGUGGCGGACGGGUGAGUAACGCGUGGGUAACCUGCCUUAUACAGGGGGAUAACAACCAGAAAUGGUUGCUAAUACCGCAUAAGCGCACAGGACCGCAUGGUCCGGUGUGAAAAACUCCGGUGGUAUAAGAUGGACCCGCGUUGGAUUAGCUAGUUGGCAGGGCAACGGCCUACCAAGGCGACGAUCCAUAGCCGGCCUGAGAGGGUGAACGGCCACAUUGGGACUGAGACACGGCCCAGACUCCUACGGGAGGCAGCAGUGGGGAAUAUUGCACAAUGGGGGAAACCCUGAUGCAGCGACGCCGCGUGAAGGAAGAAGUAUCUCGGUAUGUAAACUUCUAUCAGCAGGGAAGAUAGUGACG
Molecule: ribosomal RNA, 445 nt
Filed under: uncultured bacterium
Lineage: Bacteria
Description: bacterial SSU rRNA
Rfam family: Bacterial small subunit ribosomal RNA
Source: RNAcentral